Molecule: ribosomal RNA, 253 nt
Filed under: uncultured bacterium
Lineage: Bacteria
Description: partial 16S ribosomal RNA
Rfam family: Bacterial small subunit ribosomal RNA
Source: RNAcentral
UACGAGGGGGGUGAGCGUUGUUCGGAAUUAUUGGGCGUAAAGGGUGCGUAGGCGGUUUGGUAAGUCUUAUGUGAAAUCUACAGGCUCAACUUGUAGUCUGCAUGAGAAACUGCCGGGCUUGAGUAUGGGAGAGGUGAGUGGAAUUCCUGGUGUAGCGGUGAAAUGCGUAGAUAUCAGGAGGAACACCAAUGGCGAAGGCAGCUCGCUGGGACGUUACUGACGCUGAGACGCGAAAGCGUGGGGAGCAAACAGG